Molecule: long non-coding RNA, 342 nt
Organism: Alosa sapidissima (American shad)
Lineage: Eukaryota; Metazoa; Chordata; Actinopteri; Clupeiformes; Clupeidae
Exons: 3
Source: RefSeq, a predicted model, not a curated record
CUCAUAUGAGAUAACAAGGGCUGAAGCCAGUUGGAUCUAAAGUGCCAAGUUAUUCGUUAUCAGGUGUUCCUGGACAGUUUUGAAACCGAGAUGUCUGAACGCCUCAAAUAAUCAGCAGUAAAGACAACAGAGAUAAAUUCUCUAAUACCAAGGUCAAUGCAUUUGACUGCUGUCCAGCCCCGGGUUGCCACCGAAAACUUUAUGCAUCUUGGACUGGAAGAUGGUGUGCUAGUAAGGAAGCUAGCUACCACAGCUUUUGCCACCACAUCUCAGUGUUGGGAGGGAAGUUCACUCACUGCACAACUCUACCAGCUGUACCUUUCCUCCUCAGCCAUGAUCCGU